RNAcentral lists this ribosomal RNA (650 nucleotides) under Salmonella enterica. RNAcentral describes it as "partial 23S ribosomal RNA". It matches the Rfam family "Bacterial large subunit ribosomal RNA", at positions 2154 to 2803 of the family's 2925-position model. The record is from RNAcentral. Lineage: Bacteria; Pseudomonadati; Pseudomonadota; Gammaproteobacteria; Enterobacterales; Enterobacteriaceae.
GCUUUGAAGCGUGGACGCCAGUCUGCGUGGAGCCGACCUUGAAAUACCACCCUUUAAUGUUUGAUGUUCUAACGUGGAUCCGUAAUCCGGGUUGCGGACAGUGUCUGGUGGGUAGUUUGACUGGGGCGGUCUCCUCCUAAAGAGUAACGGAGGAGCACGAAGGUUGGCUAAUCCUGGUCGGACAUCAGGAGGUUAGUGCAAUGGCAUAAGCCAGCUUGACUGCGAGCGUGACGGCGCGAGCAGGUGCGAAAGCAGGUCAUAGUGAUCCGGUGGUUCUGAAUGGAAGGGCCAUCGCUCAACGGAUAAAAGGUACUCCGGGGAUAACAGGCUGAUACCGCCCAAGAGUUCAUAUCGACGGCGGUGUUUGGCACCUCGAUGUCGGCUCAUCACAUCCUGGGGCUGAAGUAGGUCCCAAGGGUAUGGCUGUUCGCCAUUUAAAGUGGUACGCGAGCUGGGUUUAGAACGUCGUGAGACAGUUCGGUCCCUAUCUGCCGUGGGCGCUGGAGAACUGAGGGGGGCUGCUCCUAGUACGAGAGGACCGGAGUGGACGCAUCACUGGUGUUCGGGUUGUCAUGCCAAUGGCACUGCCCGGUAGCUAAAUGCGGAAGAGAUAAGUGCUGAAAGCAUCUAAGCACGAAACUUGCCCCGAG